UACGAAGGGGGCUAGCGUUGCUCGGAAUCACUGGGCGUAAAGCGCACGUAGGCGGCUUUUUAAGUCAGGGGUGAAAUCCUGGAGCUCAACUCCAGAACUGCCUUUGAUACUGGGAAGCUUGAGUCCGGGAGAGGUGAGUGGAACUGCGAGUGUAGAGGUGAAAUUCGUAGAUAUUCGCAAGAACACCAGUGGCGAAGGCGGCUCACUGGCCCGGUACUGACGCUGAGGUGCGAAAGCUAGGGUAGCAAACGGG
RNAcentral lists this ribosomal RNA (253 nucleotides) under uncultured bacterium. RNAcentral describes it as "partial 16S ribosomal RNA". It matches the Rfam family "Bacterial small subunit ribosomal RNA", at positions 524 to 776 of the family's 1533-position model. The record is from RNAcentral.